AAACAAAUGAGAUCACUGCAUCCAAUUUAAGCUUACAAGCUCUGUAGGAUUUAAAAAAAUCAACAAAUACGUGCAAAUAAUCAAGGUCAAUGGAAUUCAUUAAAUCCUGAGAAGAAAAAUGUGUGGUUUUUGAAAGGAAACCAUAUAAGCAGGCCAGGGAACCCUCACAGAACUUCGCCGGAGCCACGAUUCAUACAUAACCAUGUAGAAAGCAUUAUAAUCAACUGGGGGAAGAUGCCACUGGAAAUGCUUUCGUGCCUUCAACACAUUAUCUUGUAACAACUGAUAUUUUUCAGAACUUGUUCCAUGAGGAUAUUCUUAAGCGAUGGAAUGUCUAAAGAGGCAAUAACAACUAAAAAGCUCUUCCAGUUUAAAAUGUCUAUAAAUGGAUGGUUAUAAUGGUUGGCAAUGAUAACCGGGACACAUCCAUAAUAUAAUGUGUCACGACCCAACCUAUAGGCCAGACCGGUACGGACCUGGGCCAGCCUAAAGCUCCCGAGACCCGUAGUA
Molecule: unclassified non-coding RNA, 510 nt
Filed under: Hevea brasiliensis (rubber tree)
Lineage: Eukaryota; Viridiplantae; Streptophyta; Magnoliopsida; Malpighiales; Euphorbiaceae
Source: RNAcentral